GAUGAAGAACGUAGCGAAAUGCGAUAACUAAUGUGAAUUGCAGAAUUCAGUGAAUCAUCGAGUCUUUGAACGCACAUUGCGCCCCCUGGUAUUCCGGGGGGCAUGCCUGUCCGAGCGUCAUUGCGGCCCUCAAGCACGGCUUGUGUGUUGGGCUCCGUCCCCCCGGGGACGGGUCCGAAAGGCAGCGGCGGCACCGAGUCCGGUCCUCGAGCGUAUGGGGCUUUGUCACCCGCUCUGUAGGCCCGGCCGGCGCCAGCCGACAACCAAUCAUCCUUUUUUCAGGUUGACCUCGGAUCAGGUAGGGAUACCCGCUGAACUUAAGCAUAUCAAUAAGCGGAGGA
RNAcentral lists this unclassified non-coding RNA (341 nucleotides) under soil metagenome. Its description in RNAcentral is "partial contains 5.8S ribosomal RNA, internal transcribed spacer 2, and large subunit ribosomal RNA". The stretch from base 1 to 120 matches the Rfam family "5.8S ribosomal RNA", at positions 35 to 154 of the family's 154-position model. The record is from RNAcentral.